UGGCGAGUGGCGAACGGGUGAGUAAUAUAUCGGAACGUGCCCAGUCGUGGGGGAUAACGUAGUGAAAAUUACGCUAAUACCGCAUACGAUCUAAGGAUGAAAAGCGGGGGAUCGCAAGACCUCGCGCGAUUGGAGCGGCCGAUAUCAGAUUAGGUAGUUGGUGAGGUAAAGGCUCACCAAGCCAACGAUCUGUAGCUGGUCUGAGAGGACGACCAGCCACACUGGAACUGAGACACGGUCCAGACUCCUACGGGAGGCAGCAGUGGGGAAUUUUGGACAAUGGACGCAAGUCUGAUCCAGCCAUUCCGCGUGCAGGACGAAGGCCUUCGGGUUGUAAACUGCUUUUGUACAGAACGAAAAGGUCUCUAUUAAUACUAGGGGCUCAUGACGGUACUGUAAGAAUAAGCACCGGCUAACUACGUGCCAGCAGCCGCGGUAAUACGUAGGGUGCAAGCGUUAAUCGGAAUUACUGGGCGUAAAGCGUGCGCAGGCGGUUAUAUAAGACAGAUGUGAAAUCCCCGGGCUCAACCUGGGAACUGCAUUUGUGACUGUAUAGCUGGAGUGCGGCAGAGGGGGAUGGAAUUCCGCGUGUAGCAGUGAAAUGCGUAGAUAUGCGGAGGAACACCGAUGGCGAAGGCAAUCCCCUGGGCCUGCACUGACGCUCAUGCACGAAAGCGUGGGGAGCAAACAGGAUUAGAUACCCUGGUAGUCCACGCCCUAAACGAUGUCAACUGGUUGUUGGGUCUUCACUGACUCAGUAACGAAGCUAACGCGUGAAGUGACCGCC
This 787-nucleotide ribosomal RNA is filed under the name uncultured beta proteobacterium. RNAcentral's name for it is "bacterial SSU rRNA". It matches the Rfam family "Bacterial small subunit ribosomal RNA", at positions 89 to 873 of the family's 1533-position model. The record is from RNAcentral. Lineage: Bacteria; Pseudomonadati; Pseudomonadota; Betaproteobacteria.